Molecule: non-coding RNA, 448 nt
Organism: Schizosaccharomyces pombe (fission yeast)
Lineage: Eukaryota; Fungi; Ascomycota; Schizosaccharomycetes; Schizosaccharomycetales; Schizosaccharomycetaceae
Source: the annotation of a GenBank genome assembly
UAAGUAAAGCGGAAAUAAUUGAAGAACAAAACUUAAAAGAUUAAGGAGCAAGACCAAAAAAGUUAAACGGAAAGAAACAAACGAUCGUCUACAAUAACAAGCAAGCCAACAAGUUUAUUGACACAGGAAAAUCAAGUGUAAAAAAUGUUAACAAUACACAAAAAAAAUACGUUUAAAGGGUCUGUAAAACUCAAUGGCACUAGAAACUUGAAUAAAGUAUGAUCGAUUUUUAGAAAGCACCGAUUUCCUCUUUGAAUUUUACUGAAAAAGAAGAGAAGAUAUGUCUAGUGAGUGAAUAAAAAGGGAAUAAAAGAAAAAGAAAGAAAAUGUAUUGAUUUGUCGCGGAAAGACGAGUAAAAAGGGAAUAAAUAAGGGACGCGACAAAUCGAAAAAAAAGAAAAGGACGAGAGAACAAGUAUGACAGAGUUAUAAGGCUGUAGACAUCAAA